RNAcentral lists this ribosomal RNA (479 nucleotides) under uncultured anaerobic ammonium-oxidizing bacterium. RNAcentral describes it as "bacterial SSU rRNA". It matches the Rfam family "Bacterial small subunit ribosomal RNA", at positions 364 to 833 of the family's 1533-position model. The record is from RNAcentral.
UUUCGCAAUGCCCGAAAGGGUGACGAAGCGACGCCGCGUGUGGGAAGAAGGCCUUCGGGUUGUAAACCACUGUCGGGAGUUAAGAAAUGUAAGGGUGUUAAUAGUAUCCUUACUUGACUAAGGCUCCGGAGGAAGCCACGGCUAACUCUGUGCCAGCAGCCGCGGUAAUACAGAGGCGGCAAGCGUUGUUCGGAAUUACUGGGCGUAAAGAGCACGUAGGCGGCUUUGUAAGUCAGUUGUGAGAGCCUUCUGCUUAACGGAAGAACAGCACCUGAUACUGCAAGGCUAGAGUAUGGAAGGGGAGAGUGGAACUUCUGGUGGAGCGGUGAAAUGCGUAGAUAUCAGAAGGAACACCGGCGGCGAAGGCGACUCUCUGGUCCGUAACUGACGCUGAGUGUGCGAAAGCUAGGGGAGCAAACGGGAUUAGAUACCCCGGUAGUCCUAGCCGUAAACGAUGGGCACUAAGUAGAGGGGUUUUA